Long non-coding RNA from Eublepharis macularius, 563 nucleotides. RefSeq lists it as uncharacterized. The transcript has 2 exons. The record is from RefSeq and is a predicted model, not a curated record. NCBI's taxonomy places the organism in Eukaryota, Metazoa, Chordata, Lepidosauria, Squamata, Eublepharidae.
CGUUUUUCUUUUUCUUUUGUCUCUCCUUUCCCCCCCCCCUUCCCUUGUUAAGGUCCCACUCAGACAUUAGUCAUUUGAAAUAAAUGUAUCUGGUACUGAUAUGUCUUUAAAUCAAUUAAUUGUAUGGUAAUUGACAAUUGUCCUAGUGGCUUGUAUUUAAUGGUGGAUAUUUAUGCCCCCCGCACCUAACUCGGGAGCUGGAUCUGUAAAUGUAAACCUGAAUGUAAACCGGAAUGCUUUUUGAGUUUGGAUACGAAAUACUUUGAUUAACUGACAUUGGUGGCCUGAUGAAGAACUGGGUUUGAAACGAGCCGAAAGGAAUAGACCGGUAUAGCUCGUCGCCACCUUGGAGCUCAUAAAUCUUGGACGCCACCGAUUAACUUCAACUGGCACCGUUUGCAGCCUGUGAUAAAGAGGCUCCGUUAAUAUAUGGGACUUGACUCUCUCAGUCUAUUGGAACAAGUUUGCAGCCACAUUGAAUUGAAUGGAAUCGAAACUGUUGUGUUUAUAUUGAUUGUAUAAUUUACUUGUGCUGCAAUAAUAAUAAUAGCUGUGUUGGCACA